UCUGGGAACAAUUUGAAAUGGUGACUCGAAAGAAUCGAAUCGUUAAAAUGAACCGUUCGAACGAACCGACUCAUUGAAGUGAAUCGCAGUCCCUGUCGUUAGAGAGCUUGCUGUAUUGUCUCGGUCGUGUCAGCUUGAUUCGCCUGCCAUUUGUCAGCGAUGUCAAGCGCAGGAUGUUUCAUCAGCCCAGACAGAGCAGGAGAGUGGAAUAAGAGCUUUAUGCGCUGAGGAGUGACGGACGUGGAGCGACGCUUCCUCAGAGAGGGCUUUCUUUGUUAUACAGUAUCUGCGAUUUCAUCCAGAGAUAUUAUCCCUGAAAGCUUAUGGAGGGAUCUCACAAAACAGGUCCAAAGAGGGGUGGAUGGAUGGAAAGAUGGAUAGAAGGAGAGCUGCCACAAGAGAGAGAUAAAGCUAUCUUUCCCUCUCCAUAAUUAACCAGGUUUCGGUAACAAGCCUUUGGGCUUUACUGUUGCCAUGGUGACCUCCCAUCCGCAGGUUUUUCAUCUGAGCCUCUGACAGUGUGUGGACUCUCUCCAUCUCAGCCGAUCACUCCCAUUUGAUUUGAACAAAUUCCCGCUUCUCUCCAUAUCUCCACACACACACACACACACACUCAAAGCCCCUCAGAGCACUUACUGCUUCCAGACACAUCAGUUUUGAGAGUUGGGCCUGAGAUCAGGCAGCUUUACUAACAUCCCUUCAUAUUACCAGCAGAUUUUACCAUACUAGGAUUCCACAAGCUCCAGUCUGGAUCCAGAACACCUGAGAAGAGAUGAUGCCAAUCCCUCAGAGGACCUCAGAUGAUGCUAACCCUGAAACAACAAACAGAACUACCACAUUUUGCUAUA
Molecule: long non-coding RNA, 848 nt
Organism: Cyprinus carpio (common carp)
Lineage: Eukaryota; Metazoa; Chordata; Actinopteri; Cypriniformes; Cyprinidae
Exons: 3
Source: RefSeq, a predicted model, not a curated record